Molecule: ribosomal RNA, 217 nt
Filed under: Salmonella enterica subsp. enterica serovar Typhimurium
Lineage: Bacteria; Pseudomonadati; Pseudomonadota; Gammaproteobacteria; Enterobacterales; Enterobacteriaceae
Description: partial 23S ribosomal RNA
Rfam family: Bacterial large subunit ribosomal RNA
Source: RNAcentral
CCGUACACAAAAGCGCAUGUGCUGUGAGCUCGAUGAGUAGGGCGGGACACGUGGUAUCCUGUCUGAAUAUGGGGGGACCAUCCUCCAAGGCUAAAUACUCCUGACUGACCGAUAGUGAACCAGUACCGUGAGGGAAAGGCGAAAAGAACCCCGGCGAGGGGAGUGAAAAAGAACCUGAAACCGUGUACGUACAAGCAGUGGGAGCACAGGUUUACCU